This 546-nucleotide ribosomal RNA is filed under the name uncultured bacterium. RNAcentral describes it as "bacterial SSU rRNA". It matches the Rfam family "Bacterial small subunit ribosomal RNA", at positions 777 to 1320 of the family's 1533-position model. The record is from RNAcentral.
AAUAGAUACCCUGGUAGUCCACGCCGUAAACGAUGAGUGCUAAGUGUUAGGGGGUUUCCGCCCCUUAGUGCUGCAGCUAACGCAUUAAGCACUCCGCCUGGGGAGUACGGUCGCAAGACUGAAACUCAAAGGAAUUGACGGGGGCCCGCACAAGCGGUGGAGCAUGUGGUUUAAUUCGAAGCAACGCGAAGAACCUUACCAGGUCUUGACAUCCCACUGACCGCUAUGGAGACAUAGUUUUCCCUUCGGGGACAGUGGUGACAGGUGGUGCAUGGUUGUCGUCAGCUCGUGUCGUGAGAUGUUGGGUUAAGUCCCGCAACGAGCGCAACCCUUGAUCUUAGUUGCCAUCAUUUAGUUGGGCACUCUAAGGUGACUGCCGGUGACAAACCGGAGGAAGGUGGGGAUGGACGUCAAAUCAUCAUGCCCCUUAUGACCUGGGCUACACACGUGCUACAAUGGACGGUACAAACGGUUGCCAACCCGCGAGGGGGAGCUAAUCCGAUAAAACCGUUCUCAGUUCGGAUUGUAGGCUGCAACUCGCCUACA